UACGUAGGGAGCAAGCGUUGUCCGGAUUUAUUGGGCGUAAAGCGCACGUAGGUGGCGACGUAAGUCGGGUGUGAAAGCCCCGGGCUCAACCUGGGAAUUGCAUUCGAGACUGCAUUGCUGGAGUACGGAAGAGGAAGGCGGAAUUCCCGGUGUAGCGGUGAAAUGCGUAGAUAUCGGAAGGAACAUCAGUGGCGAAAGCGACUUCCUGGACCAAUACUGACGCUCAUGUGCGAAAGCGUGGGGAGCAAACAGG
Molecule: ribosomal RNA, 253 nt
Filed under: uncultured bacterium
Lineage: Bacteria
Description: partial 16S ribosomal RNA
Rfam family: Bacterial small subunit ribosomal RNA
Source: RNAcentral